AUUGAACGCUGGCGGCAUGCCUUACACAUGCAAGUCGAACGGCAGCACGGGGCAACCUGGUGGCGAGUGGCGAACGGGUGAGUAAUGCAUCGGAACGUGCCAUUGAGUGGGGGAUAACGUAGCGAAAGUUGCGCUAAUACCGCAUAUUCUGUGAGCAGGAAAGCAGGGGACCGCAAGGCCUUGCGCUCUUUGAGCGGCCGAUGUCAGAUUAGCUAGUUGGUGAGGUAACGGCUUACCAAGGCGACGAUCUGUAGCGGGUCUGAGAGGAUGAUCCGCCACACUGGAACUGAGACACGGUCCAGACUCCUACGGGAGGCAGCAGUGGGGAAUAUUGGACAAUGGGCGCAAGCCUGAUCCAGCAAUGCCGCGUGUGUGAAGAAGGCCUGCGGGUUGUAAAGCACUUUUGUUCGGGAAGAAAUCAUGCUGGUUAAUACCUGGUAUGGAUGACGGUACCGAAAGAAUAAGCACCGGCUAA
RNAcentral lists this ribosomal RNA (475 nucleotides) under uncultured bacterium. RNAcentral's name for it is "bacterial SSU rRNA". It matches the Rfam family "Bacterial small subunit ribosomal RNA", at positions 30 to 500 of the family's 1533-position model. The record is from RNAcentral.